AACCAUAUCGUUAGGAAGUAGCGAGCAUCAACUUUGAUUGGUAUCGAAAACUCUUCGUUACUCGUAAACGCUCUAUAUCAAUUAUUUCCUCAUUUUAUACCGGAACACGACGCCAAUCUCCGGCAUCAUUUCAUUCACCAUUAUUGCAAUUGGUAAGCGUGAUACGAUCUUGCGAAAGGACAUGGAUCAAAACUUCACGUAACUAGGUUAUGUACGGUGAAUCAGAUGUCGUAUGACUGGCUUGAUAAACGUGUUAAAAGAUCUACGUUAAACUACCAAAUUCUAACCUCAAAUAUUUCAAUCGUUCAAACCGAGACCUGUUCUUAUCACUGCAGCAUUGACGCUCGCGCCAUUAGGAUUUCAACAGAGGUUUAUCUCGCAUUUAGAAUCUUCACGUGAGCACUGCACGGUUAUUAGUUAGCGGAUAGUUAGAGACGGUCGGAGGCCAAGCUAAUCUAGAGGAACCUUGGGAUCUCACCCACACGCGUUUAUCGUCAGCGAGACGCUAAUAUCAUACCGGUGACUAUAUAUAUGUACAUACGUAUACGUGGUUCCACACAAUUACGUUAAAGUACUGUGAGUUUCAGUCGAAGCUGCAGAAACGUCUGUGAAACGAUUCGUUUUAUUUUGCAGACACUAUGAAGUGUGUAAAAAGAUUGAUUUAAAUUAAUUUUUUAAAUAUAUCUAUGAGUGCUGUCAUUAAUAUUAUUUAGAAAAAAGAUACUUUCAAUUUUAGCGAACAAAGGCAUUCAACGUCUGAAGAAAGUGUGUUCUUCUCUUUUAAUUUUCUUCUGGUUGGAUCAACUGGUACGCGAAGGUAAAGACGACACAAGCUCUGGCAUAAGCGCGUGCCAUGCAACCGACACGACUUACGCAAACGUAAACGCGACCUUCGACGUCGUCUGUGCCCAACAUGUGUGUACUAACCAUCUACUAACCAGGUUGGCCAACUUCAUUCGCAUUCGUCUCGACUGCCAUCGUUCUAACCUUCUUGCGCCGGAUGAUUGCACAAAUGCACGACAGAAUUCUCGUAACAAAGUCACGAGAAACUGCGCUUCACUAUGAAGAGGUAAAACGAAUUGAGUAUACGGGCUAAGAAGGCUGAAGAAGAGGUCUGAAUAUUUACGGAUGAACAAGUCUGACUUACCUGCGACUAGAAUUCUCAAUUACAGCUCACACCUGACAUUUCAACACUCCUGAGCAAUGUAUAAGGUCCCAGUAAUUUAACCUGAAUAAUCGUUAUAGCUCAAUGCCAAGAAAAAGAGAUAAAGUCUGUACCCAGGUGAAUCGAAGGUCCCUCAGCGUUGAAAAGAUUUUCAAGCCAUGCUCGGGGGAUCAUGAAAAUCCAGGAUACCGCUGUAGAUUGAGUCUUCUACUUAUUCCGUUAGAUGGCUUUACUCCCUGCAAUAAGACAAGUGAGCAUCGAGUCAAAGCAGUGUAUAAGAUGAAAAACAACGCGGGUCUACGAAACAAGACGCCACCGUAGCGACAGUAGCGCCACUAGCGGCUCGACCAUGAAUUAAAGAGAUCAAUCGAACCCUCCAGACUAGAAGGUGACUGUAUACAUUACCUCUGGACACAGAUAUCUCUUCUGGCAAAGAAAAAAGCAAAAUUGAAGGUGCUUAGGGAGAAGUCUAAUAUAAUGUAACAUAAGAGUUUGCAGAAGAUGUUUAUCUUUGUUGUACAAUCAUAUUAUUAAUAAAUACUAUAAAUACAUA
RNA transcript from Cephus cinctus (wheat stem sawfly), 1718 nucleotides. RefSeq lists it as uncharacterized. The transcript has 5 exons. Lineage: Eukaryota; Metazoa; Arthropoda; Insecta; Hymenoptera; Cephidae. The record is from RefSeq and is a predicted model, not a curated record.